UAAUUAUGUCUCCAUAAUGCAUGUUACAGGC
RNAcentral lists this non-coding RNA (31 nucleotides) under Mus musculus (house mouse). The record is from RNAcentral. Lineage: Eukaryota; Metazoa; Chordata; Mammalia; Rodentia; Muridae.